GGAAGAAGAGGCUGUACAGCAAAGCCUAGGCGCGCCUCUGCCUGGAACCCCUUCCCCUCUUGCGCACCUUCAAGCCAUCCUUUGCUUCUUUCCUCUCCUCCCCACCCACCUCCUCCUCCUCUUCCUCCUCUCUCUCUGUCAUCUCCAGGCUUCUCUUCUUCCUGCGUGGGAGACAGGCAGAGAAAGAGAGAGAGAGAGAGCAGCUGUGGAGGGCUCUAGGCUGGGGAAUCCCGGCGAGCCGGGUACUGCGGACUUUCGCCUCGGCAAAACCAGGACCUUGGAGAGGGCUGGAGCCUCAGGAAAGGACCGGCCUCCCCCUCCAGAGAAAGAGAGAAGCCGCUUUGCUGUAGCCCUCUUUCCAGCCCCUCCAGCGUUUUUUUUUUGGGGGGGGGGAGGGGGAUGGCGAGGAAGGGAGAGCCUUGAGGCGGGAAAGCAGCCUCGCCGCCUCUGGAAGAGAAGAAGCGAAAGAGACUCUCAGGUUCCCGCCUAAACUUUGAUUGCAGAGGCUUCCUCCUCUCCCCUCAGCUCUUGACUGCAGGUCCUUGGAGAAGGAAGGAAAGAAGAAAAGGGGGAUAGUUUGAGGGAGGAGGAGGAGGCGCAACAGAAGCCGGUCUCUCGCUUGGAAAGGAAAAAGCCUCCUCCUCUCCUCCUUGUCCAGGACUCCUCCGCUUCUGGCCCCAGGCUCUGGAGGAGGCUCUUCCUCUCCUCUUCCUCCCGCCCUGAUGCUGCUGAGGCUCCCGAGGCGCCCCUUCUGAGCCUGGGCCCCAGGAGGGCAAGAUGGACGUGGCCCCCUUUCCAGGAGUUGGCCUCGGACUGCAGGGCGCAUCCAGAGAGGACUAAGGAGCCCCGCUGGGGUCAAGCGCUGCCAAAUCCGUCGCAGUGCCCUCCUCAUCCCUUCCCUCCCAAGUCCCCCAACAUCCCUCUUCGGGGUCUUUCUUCCCCAUCCUGUCCCCAUCCUAACAAGACUUGAUGACGGAUCAUCUAUUGACCUUCCUUUGGCUGCCUCCAGAGACCCCGAGGAGGCUGCCUUCUUGAUCUGUUUCCAAGAAAGCCUUGGGGCUUUGGGGGGCGUGAAGCGGAGGAGGCCAAGGCAGGGGCUUUCUUUCUGGAGCCUCGAGGGGGGACUCUCUCUCUCUCUCUUUCUCUCCCUCCCUCCCUCUCUUCUCCUCCCGCCCCAGAGCUCCUGGGCUCGCCAUGCAAGGGCUCUGCGAUGGGGGCGGCGUGGGCUGCUAGGCUCCGAUGCUGGUGGCUGGAGGAGGCGGAGGAGACGGUGGCCCUGGGGGGCUGAGGCUAGUCAGGGCGGGCCACGGCGGAGGAGGCGGAGGCCAGAGCGGGGCGCGGGAGAGGCCAGGCCCGCGGCGGGGCCCCAGGCGGUGCGGAGCCUCCUCAGCCCUGGCCGCCGGUGGAAGCCCUCCCUCCCGUCUCUAAAUGGAAUUAGUGGAGAGCGAAGCCCCGGCAGCAAGGAACAGACAUGACCCAUGGGCGCAGCUUCUUUCACAUUGUAGCAAGUUUUAUCAUCCUACAUUGGGCUGGGGCAACAAAAAAAGGAGCAGAAAAGCAAACCACUUCAGAAGGACAAAAGACAGUGCAGUGUGGAACGUGGACUAAAUACCCAGAAGGAGGCAUUUUCACUUCUCCCAAUUACCCCAACAAAUACCCUCCUGACAGAGAGUGUGUCUACAUUAUAGAAGCUGCUCCAAGACAAUGUAUUGAGUUACACUUCGAUGAAAAAUAUUCCAUAGAACCUUCUUGGGAAUGUAAAUUUGAUCACAUUGAAGUGCGGGAUGGACCUUUUGGCUUUUCCCCAAUAAUUGGCCGUUUCUGUGGACAACAAAACCCACCUAAGAUAAAAUCCAGUGGCAGAUUCCUGUGGAUUAAAUUUUUUGCUGAUGGUGAACUUGAAUCUUUGGGAUUUUCUGCACGAUACAAUUUCACACCUGAUCCAGACUUCAAAGAUCUUGGUGUUUUGAAACCAUUGCCAGUUUGUGAGUUUGAGAUGGGAGGAUCUGAAGGAAUUGUGGAAUCUGUGCAAAUUGGAAAAGAAGGGAAAGCUUCUGAUACUGAGGCAGUAGAUUGUAAAUGGUAUAUCCGAGCACCGCCACGAUCCAAGAUAUAUUUACGAUUCUUGGACUAUGAAAUGCAGAAUUCUAAUGAAUGCAAAAGGAAUUUUGUGGCUGUCUAUGAUGGAAGUAGCUCAGUGGAGGAUUUAAAAGCUAAGUUUUGCAGCACUGUUGCUAAUGAUGUGAUGCUGCGCACAGGUCUUGGAGUAAUCCGCAUGUGGGCAGAUGAAGGCAGUCGAAGCAGCCGAUUCCAGAUGCUCUUCACAUCUUUCCAAGAACCCCCCUGUGAAGCAAAUGCAUUCUUUUGCCAUAGUAAUAUGUGUAUUAAUAAUACAUUGGUCUGCAAUGGACUUCAGAACUGUGUGUAUCCAUGGGAUGAAAACCACUGCAAAGAGAAAAGAAAAGCCAACCUGUUGGACCAGCUUACCAACACCAGUGGGACAAUAAUUGGGGUAACCUCCUGUAUUGUGGUUCUCCUUAUCAUUAUCUCUGUUAUAGUACAAAUCAAACAGCCUCGUAAAAAAUUCGUCCAGAGAAAUGCAGACUUUGAUCAAACAGUAUUCCAGGAGGUGUUUGAGCCUCCGCACUAUGAGUUAUGCACUCUUAGAGGAACAGGGGCUACAGCGGACCUUGCAGAUGUUGCAGAUGAUUUUGAAAAUUAUCAUAAACUGCGUAGAUCAUCUUCAAAAUGCAUUCAUGACCAUCACUGUGGAUCACAGUUAUCUAGCACUAAGGGCAGCCGUAGUAACCUCAGCACAAGAGAUACACCUAUCUUGACAGAAAUUCAACCUCAGCCUGUAAAGCCCCUGAUCCAACCCAUGAACCGAAGAAAUAUUCUUGUCAUGAAACAUAGCUAUUCACAAGAUGCAGCAGAUGCGUGUGAGAUUGAUGAAAUCGAAGAGGUACCAACCACGAGUCACAGGCUGUCCAGACAUGAUAAAGCUGUCCAGCGCCAUAACAUUCCAGGUUCUGCCUCAUUGGGUCUCUAAACAAACAUGAAUCUGAGUACAACACAACUAGGGUGUAAAGACAAACUAAAGACUGCUUGAGAAUAGUGCGAUCCUGGGUGAUUUUGAAUAUGCUACAGUGAAUUAUGAAAAUCGGCCCUGGAACUGCCAGCUAGAGAUGUUCUGGACUCUGACCAGCUUUUCCAAUUUCAUGAAAAAAAAAUCAUCAGUCAGUAAUGAAUAAACUUAACGGAUGGCAAUAAGACUCUUAUUAUUCAUCAUUGCUAUCAUUUAUUCUUACUAUUAUAGUUUUUUCUUUCUUUAUAUAUAUAUAUAUUUGCUUUGUUUUGUUUUGUUACAAAGAAAAGUUUACCCAGUUUCAGGAAAGAAAAUGAUUAAAUCAGGUAUUUGCCCAUACACAAUCACAACAGAAACAUUUGUUGGAUAGAAAUCUAACAACACUACUGAAUUUGUCUCAGAAACUGAUUUGCAUGUAUGUUGCUGAAUAUUUGAGAUGGCAAAACAGCAAUGGCAAGGAAUCCCUUUGAGGUACAUUGUAAAAAGCAUGCAUUCAUAAUUACUGCUGUUCCUAUCCAUUUCUUUGUGUCAUAUGCUUGCUAACUGUAACUUUUUAUAUAAAGAUACAUAAAACAAAUAAUAAUUUCUUA
RNA transcript from Sceloporus undulatus (fence lizard), 3675 nucleotides. It is a transcript of the gene named neuropilin and tolloid like 1, with no coding region annotated. NCBI's taxonomy places the organism in Eukaryota, Metazoa, Chordata, Lepidosauria, Squamata, Phrynosomatidae. The record is from RefSeq and is a predicted model, not a curated record. The transcript is spliced from 11 exons.